UCCUGAAACCAAGUGUAAAGGUACUCUGAUUACGAUAAGAUGGUAAUCAAUAAUUCUGAAGCACAUAAAUUUUCUAAAUAAACCUCCAGCAAAUCGAAAUCGAAAGGAGCUGGCACGGCACACCGACAAUUGACAACUCUUUUGGGUCUUAAAAUAUUCAAUGAUAAUUAUCAGUUGCUCUUUGAUCUGCUGCUCGUAACACGUGAAUACAGAUAUCUAAAAUGGAGGAGUGCAUGUGCAGCCUUUAAUGAAUCUUGGAUUCAGGAUGCCUGCAGCAUUGUUAAUCUGCUUAGGCUUCGAUGCAGAGCCUAAUAAGUCUUUGAUUGCCUAUCAGUAUUAUAGGCCAAAUUGCAUGUGAUACCUUCUUUAUAUCCCCAAAUCAUCAAGAAUUUCCUUCAGCAGAGGGCAUAAAAACUCAUGGCAAGCUGCUUCAUUAGGUACAAGUAAAAUUGCACCAAAAAUACAGCUGAAUUUACCUGAAGGGCUUUCUCUCGACAAUAUGGUAUAGCCGUCCUGGUGCAUAUAGCCGUGUUGGAUCCUUAAGCAUCUUCUCCUCAAGAGUGCAAGUAUCCUUCAAGCACAUUAGGCAUAACAGACAAGGCAAGCUGUCCAAAGUACAGAAACUCAGCUUAGUUAAUAUCUUGUCUAAACAAACUGCAUUAGAUACGUGAUCAUUAUAACACGGACCAAAUAUGCAAGCAUAAGAGUCCAUCAUUGACUA
Molecule: long non-coding RNA, 721 nt
Organism: Populus trichocarpa (black cottonwood)
Lineage: Eukaryota; Viridiplantae; Streptophyta; Magnoliopsida; Malpighiales; Salicaceae
Exons: 2
Source: RefSeq, a predicted model, not a curated record